This is a long non-coding RNA of Thunnus maccoyii (southern bluefin tuna), 982 nucleotides long. RefSeq lists it as uncharacterized. Lineage: Eukaryota; Metazoa; Chordata; Actinopteri; Scombriformes; Scombridae. The record is from RefSeq and is a predicted model, not a curated record. The transcript has 3 exons.
CAGUUUGUCAGAGAUCAGCUGUGCUUCUCUGGCCUCAGCUCUGAAGUCCAACCCCUCCCAUCUGAGAGAGCUGCAACUGGGCUACAACAACCUGUCUGACUCAGGAAUGAAACUGCUGUGUGAUUUUCUGAAGAGUCCACACUGUAGACUGGAGAUUCUGGGAUUGAGGUACUGCAGUUUGUCAGAGAUCAGCUGUGCCUCUCUGGUCUCAGCUCUGAAGUCCAACCCCUCCCAUCUGAGAGAGCUGGUUUUGAGUGACAACAACCUGCAAGCUUCAGACAUGAAGCUGCUGUCUGUUCUUAAGAAGAGUCGACACUGAAGACUGGAGACUCUGAGCUGGGAGUGAUGAUCUCUGUAAGAGUGUGAGUGAACAUCCAGGAGUUUGUGUUGAGAGAAAAUCAGCUGUAUCCUGAUGAUCCAUCUGGACUGGAGUCUAGAUCUUGAUUUUUUUUGAGUCAACACUUUACAAAUGUGUUAUACAUGAACUGUUUGAUGCAGAAAAGAUGUCUGAUGAGACUUUGACCCUGGGCCCAUAUUUAUCAAGCGUCUCAGAAUCACUGAGAGUUAACUGAGGACUAAAACUAAUUUAUGAAGCAGAAGAGAAUUUACUCUGCAUGAAUGCAGCUUGUUUUUGUAUAACUUGACACUGAGUGGUGGGAAAUGAAUUAGUGCUGAUUAUCAGCACAGAUAAAUAUGGGUCCUGGUCUUUACUGUCAGGGCUCUGGAUCAACCUGUUUGAGGAGCACAGUCUGAUAAGUCAUUAUCUUCCUUUAAAUCACUUCAUCAAACUCAUUUUUAUCCACUGAUCUACCAAUUAUUUUUGUUUUAAAUGCUGUAUAUCUUAAAUUUGAAUCUAAUGUCUGUUUUACUGGUUUAUUUUCUUCCUGUAUGUUUGUUAGUUUUGUGUAAAGCAUUCUGUAACAUUGGUUUUAAGAAGUUUUAUAGACUUCUGAAGGGAGGGUGGUGGGAUGAUGGUGGUGGG